Molecule: long non-coding RNA, 1672 nt
Filed under: Gadus morhua (Atlantic cod)
Lineage: Eukaryota; Metazoa; Chordata; Actinopteri; Gadiformes; Gadidae
Description: lncRNA (ENSGMOG00000031726.1)
Source: RNAcentral
GGAAAUUUAUCCAAGCGCCGCACAGGGUUAAUUUAUUUUCGACACGCACAGCCCGGCGCACGGAAGCAUCCGGAGUCUCUGUGGACAGGUGACACACGUAGUGUGUACUCCCGUCGGUGCAAGCCUCAUGCGACCACUUAUAGCAAAAAUCACACUGGACCCAAGGUGGGGGUGACUCCAUCAGCGGGCCAGGUGAUGGUGGGAGGAGCAGCUGAGGUGGCACCAGGGGUGACUCCAGCAAGGGGGGCGGCAUCAGGAGCGGGCGAGAAGAGCCUCUUCUUGGGAGCCAGAGAGGAGGGAGGCUGCUUGGCGGGACGACGCUGCUUCAGAGUUCGGGGUGUCGCCCGGCCUUAGGGUAAGACCGGACGAUGUCCAGGCUGAAUUCGAGGGCAUCUUCCUCAGCCCAGACAGCUUCGUCAGGCCCGGCAGCUAGUCCAGGUACAUCCAUGCCUGCCAAAGGACACAUUUAAAAAAUACACUUUUAAAUAAAAAAAUGUUUAUAUCCCCACCCUCCUGAUCCUUGUUAAAUACCCUGAUGUGAGAGUUGUAGCCUGGUGGUCUAGCUCUCUCUGCCAUCCACUAACCUAUGGAAUUUUUUUAUGAACUUUGACUUAUGGGACUAUUUACUUAUGUAUUAUGAACUCUGUUGCUUCUGAUGAACUGUUCCUACCUGAAGUGGCACCUGGAGAAGCGCUGACCUCGUCACCUGAAGCCUGGGGAGGAGGACGGUCUGUGGAAUAGGAUCCGGUGAAGUCCUUUUCCUCAAACACGGAGGGUUUAAAAGGCCAGAUCCCUGGACUAGAGAACCCGGAUGUGAUGUUCUUCACUGUUGCAGCCUCUGGUAAGGCUUCAGCAACGAUGGAGGGCACAUCAUAAAUCGAGAUGUUGGGGGCUCCUCAUCCACCUGUCCGCCGCACUGUUUACGUACCCCUUUAGGGGGCCGAAGACACUAAUGUCCAUUGGCUGCAACCUGCGGGUGCAGUGGGGAGGGAAUGACAGCAGCACUAUGCCGUUGGCUCUGCAGUAAUCGAUUGCUGCAAUUGACAGGUGGGACGGGUGAUUGUCCAGCAGGCGGAGCAGCUUCGACUCCUUGGACACGGGUGUGACUGGUGAAGUGGGCCAGGUACAGGAGGAAGUCUGGCUCCUUCCUCCAGCAAGUUGGGUUUGCGGUGCCAGCACAGCCAACGGGUCCACCCCUCAGGAAGUGGUCUUCGAACCGCUUACGGGGGAAGAUAAAGAAUGGGGGAACAAGGUCGCCCUGCGCAUUGCAUGCCAGGGCAACUGUGACCAGGGUCCCCCUCUCCGCUGAGGUCACUGACCCGACCUGCUUCUGCCCCAUCUGGGCGACGACACGCCUGGCACCUGGACAGUGGUGACCCCUGUAAAUAGUUGUGUGAGCAUAGUUGUGUAUAUAUAUAGUUAUGUGUAUAUAGUUGUUUUUAUAUGUAUAUAGUUGUUAGCAUCGUUUCUAUUUAGAUAUCUAGUUACGUUUAUAUCGUUUUUUUCAUAUUUAUAUGGUUGUGAGCAUAGUUUAUUUUUAUAAACGUAGUUAUGUGUUUAUAGUUGUGUUUUAUAUUAAUAUAGUUCAUAAAUACCGGUUUCAUUAAUGUUCCAAAUAUCCUUGGCCUGGAACUGGUGCCGGUCCAGCACCGUCUUUCAAUUUUGGUAGAAC